Molecule: small nuclear RNA, 107 nt
Organism: Callithrix jacchus (white-tufted-ear marmoset)
Lineage: Eukaryota; Metazoa; Chordata; Mammalia; Primates; Cebidae
Source: Ensembl
GUGCUCACUUCAGCAGCACAUACACUAAAAUUAUAAUGCUACAAAGAAUAUUUGUAUGGUCCCUGCACAAGAAUGACACAAAAAUUUGUGAAGUGUCCCAUGACAAA